RNAcentral lists this ribosomal RNA (524 nucleotides) under uncultured bacterium. RNAcentral describes it as "partial 16S ribosomal RNA". It matches the Rfam family "Bacterial small subunit ribosomal RNA", at positions 28 to 523 of the family's 1533-position model. The record is from RNAcentral.
GACGAACGCUGGCGGCGUGCCUAAUACAUGCAAGUCGAACGAAGCUGUUUUAACUGGUGCUUGCACCGACUUAAACAACUGAGUGGCGAACGGGUGAGUAACACGUGGGUAACCUGCCCCAAAGCGGGGGAUAACAUUUGGAAACAGAUGCUAAUACCGCAUAACCACAGAAACCACAUGGUUUCUGUGUCAAAGAUGGUUUCGGCUAUCACUUUGGGAUGGACCCGCGGCGUAUUAGCUAGUUGGUAAGGUAAUGGCUUACCAAGGCAAUGAGACGUAGCCGAACUGAGAGGUUGAUCGGCCACAUUGGGACUGAGACACGGACCAAACUCCUACGGGAGGCAGCAGUAGGGAGUCUUCCACAAUGGACGAAAGUCUGAUGGAGCAACGCCGCGUGAGUGAAGAAGGUUUUCGGAUCGUAAAACUCUGUUGUCAGAGAAGAACGUGUGCGAGAGUAACUGUUCGUGCAGUGACGGUAUCUGGCCAGAAAGCCACGGCUAACUACGUGCCAGCAGCCGCCGUAA